AUGAACGCUGGCGGCGUGCCUAAUACAUGCAAGUCGAACGCAUAGCGAAAGGUGCUUGCACCUUUCAAGUGAGUGGCGAACGGGUGAGUAACACGUGGACAACCUGCCUCAAGGCUGGGGAUAACAUUUGGAAACAGAUGCUAAUACCGAAUAAAACUUAGUGUCGCAUGACACAAAGUUAAAAGGCGCUUCGGCGUCACCUAGAGAUGGAUCCGCGGUGCAUUAGUUAGUUGGUGGGGUAAAGGCCUACCAGGACAAUGAUGCAUAGCCGAGUUGAGAGACUGAUCGGCAACAUUGGGACUGAGACACGGCCCAAACUCCUACGGGAGGCUGCAGUAGGGAAUCUUCCACAAUGGGCGAAAGCCUGAUGGAGCAACGCCGCGUGUGUGAUGAAGGCUUUCGGGUCGUAAAGCACUGUUGUAUGGGAAGAACAGCUAGAAUAGGAAAUGAUUUUAGUUUGACGGUACCAUACCAGAAAGGGACGGCUAAAUACAUG
This 496-nucleotide ribosomal RNA is filed under the name uncultured bacterium. RNAcentral describes it as "partial 16S ribosomal RNA". It matches the Rfam family "Bacterial small subunit ribosomal RNA", at positions 29 to 507 of the family's 1533-position model. The record is from RNAcentral.